This 484-nucleotide ribosomal RNA is filed under the name uncultured bacterium. RNAcentral describes it as "partial 16S ribosomal RNA". It matches the Rfam family "Bacterial small subunit ribosomal RNA", at positions 30 to 507 of the family's 1533-position model. The record is from RNAcentral.
AUUGAACGCUGGCGGCAGGCCUAACACAUGCAAGUCGAGCGGAUGAAGGGGGCUUUCUCCUGGAUUCAGCUGCGGACGGGUGAGUAAUUCCUAGGAAUCUACCUUGUAGUGGGGGAUAACGUCCGGAAACGGGCGCUAAUACCGCAUACGUCCUUAUGGUGAAAGGGGUGGAUCUUCAGUCCUCACGCUAUCAGAUGAGCCUAGGUCGGAUUAGCUAGUUGGUGGGGUAAAGGCCUACCAAGGCGACGAUCCGUAACUGGGCUGAGAGGAUGAUCAGUCACACUGGAACUGAGACACGGUCCAGACUCCUACGGGAGGCAGCAGUGGGGAAUAUUGGGCAAUGGGCGAAAGCCUGAUGGAGCCAUGCCGCGUGAGUGAAGAAGGUCUUCGGAUUGUAAAGCACUGUAAGUUGGGAGGAAGGGAAGUAAGUGAAUCUGUGGCUGUCUUGACGGUACCAACAGAGUAAGCAACGGCUAACUUCGUG